Drosophila navojoa is the source of this 685-nucleotide long non-coding RNA. NCBI's taxonomy places the organism in Eukaryota, Metazoa, Arthropoda, Insecta, Diptera, Drosophilidae. The record is from RefSeq and is a predicted model, not a curated record.
UGCGGCAUUCUCAUUAACAUACGAUGACCAACUUUAAAAUCCGCUGAUCGAGCGCUCGGAAAACCCAAAAACAAAUUUUCUCUUUAUUUUCGUGGUCUUUCGCUUUUGUUUUGCUUAUUCUUAUUUGCUUUCAUGUAAAUCGGUCUAAAGGCACGCGAAGCGACGCCAACAUUUUCUUUUUGCACAAAAGCAUUUUAAUGAAUGGAAACUUUGUUCCGUUCAAUUACAAGAGGAUUCGUUCCGAACCGCGCCGUUCCGAGCCACAUCCACGCAUAAAACUUAUAUGUGUUGCCAUAAAUUUAAUUACUUUGUAAACUUGUUGGUCUUUUGUACUCUGAACACAGGUUCUAUGCCUCUCGAUUUUUGCGUAUGUCAAGGCAAAUGAAGCACUCUGUUACCUGAGCAUACCAUAUAGAAUCUAGAAUCUAUAGCACAUGCGAGUAUAUAUCUGCAGUUUUUGACGUCGAUUUCCUUUCCCAGUUGACGACUCGUGCAUAUCUCUCGUAUAGCACACAUCUGCAUACACAUUGAUAUGUAUAUAUGGAUAUACAUACAUACAUGUAUAUCUAUUGCAUAUAUCGCUAGCUAAUUGUGAAGGUCGUUUACGUCUGCAGUCGUCGCUCGCAUGUUUGUCUGCGCUACACCCUCGCUAUAAGUCACACGAAACUGGCAAACACAACGAGAA